RNAcentral lists this ribosomal RNA (368 nucleotides) under uncultured Helicobacter sp. RNAcentral describes it as "bacterial SSU rRNA". It matches the Rfam family "Bacterial small subunit ribosomal RNA", at positions 274 to 659 of the family's 1533-position model. The record is from RNAcentral. Lineage: Bacteria; Pseudomonadati; Campylobacterota; Epsilonproteobacteria; Campylobacterales; Helicobacteraceae.
CUAUGACGGGUAUCCGGCCUGAGAGGGUGAGCGGACACACUGGAACUGAGACACGGUCCAGACUCCUACGGGAGGCAGCAGUAGGGAAUAUUGCUCAAUGGGGGAAACCCUGAAGCAGCAACGCCGCGUGGAGGAUGAAGGUUUUAGGAUCGUAAACUCCUUUUGUUAGAGAAGAUAAUGACGGUAUCUAACGAAUAAGCACCGGCUAACUCCGUGCCAGCAGCCGCGGUAAUACGGAGGGUGCAAGCGUUACUCGGAAUCACUGGGCGUAAAGAGUGCGUAGGCGGGAGGACAAGUCAGGUGUGAAAUCCUAUGGCUUAACCAUAGAACUGCAUUUGAAACUAUCCUUCUGGAGUGUGGGAGAGGUA